Molecule: long non-coding RNA, 262 nt
Filed under: Homo sapiens (human)
Lineage: Eukaryota; Metazoa; Chordata; Mammalia; Primates; Hominidae
Description: HSALNT0101966
Source: RNAcentral
UCUUGCCAAUCUAAGGUGUGAAGGUCUGGGCCGGGUGCGAUGGCUCACGCCUGUAAUCCCAGCACUUUGGGAGGCUGAGGCAGGCAGAUCUCUUGAGGCCAGGAGUUUGAGACCAGCCUGGCCAACAUGGUGAAACCCCGUCUCUACAAAAAAUACAAAAAUUAGUCAGGCAUGGUAGCGGGUGCCUGAAAUCUCAGUUACUCAGGAGGCUGAGGUGGGAGAAUUGCUUGAACCCAGGAGGCGGAGGUUGCCUUGAACCGAG